UAGGGAAUCUUCGGCAAUGGACGGAAGUCUGACCGAGCAACGCCGCGUGAGUGAAGAAGGUUUUCGGAUCGUAAAGCUCUGUUGUUAGAGAAGAACGUUGGUAGGAGUGGAAAAUCUACCAAGUGACGGUAACUAACCAGAAAGGGACGGCUAACUACGUGCCAGCAGCCGCGGUAAUACGUAGGUCCCGAGCGUUGUCCGGAUUUAUUGGGCGUAAAGCGAGCGCAGGCGGUUCUUUAAGUCUGAAGUUAAAGGCAGUGGCUUAACCAUUGUACGCUUUGGAAACGGGAGGACUUGAGUGCAGAAGGGGAGAGUGGAAUUCCAUGUGUAGCGGUGAAAUGCGUAGAUAUAUGGAGGAACACCGGUGGCGAAAGCGGCUCUCUGGGCUGUAACUGACGCUGAGGCUCGAAAGCGUGGGGAGCAAACAGG
This 429-nucleotide ribosomal RNA is filed under the name Bacillota bacterium. RNAcentral describes it as "Firmicutes bacterium partial 16S ribosomal RNA". It matches the Rfam family "Bacterial small subunit ribosomal RNA", at positions 355 to 776 of the family's 1533-position model. The record is from RNAcentral. Lineage: Bacteria; Bacillati; Bacillota.